Long non-coding RNA from Tympanuchus pallidicinctus (lesser prairie-chicken), 3875 nucleotides. RefSeq lists it as uncharacterized. The record is from RefSeq and is a predicted model, not a curated record. NCBI's taxonomy places the organism in Eukaryota, Metazoa, Chordata, Aves, Galliformes, Phasianidae. The transcript is spliced from 6 exons.
UCACACACUGAAUGGGUCCAAGAGAAAAGACAAAGCCACAUGUUAUGUCUGUAUCAGUCUUUCACAACUGGCUGGGAUGUUUCUUCUGUUGGAUCAAUGAAUAGGGAGGUUGUGUUUCUCCAUAAUUUCCCUGGACAGUGAGUAUAUUGAAGGAAUAAGAGCAGUGACACACCUCUCAACCUGCUUAAUCCUUUCCAGGAUGGAUCUUUCUACCAAGGGCUGAGAAUGUGAUAUACUCACAGGGGAAGCUGAUACGCCAAAAAUCUGUUAGUUUCAAACUCAAAUAGUAUUUGAAAUUUAAAGAAGAAAAAAAAAAAAUCACUCUGCACAACAAUCAAAGUUCUUUGCAGUUUUAUAACUACUCCUAAGCACAGAGCAAGACUCCAUUUCCUUUCCCUUUGCUUUGCCCAUUAGAACUACAUCAACUCUGUGACCAUUCUUGUUUUUACUUCCACAGCUUGGCCCAAGCAGGAAAACCGAUCCGUUAAUCUUAAAAAUCUACUGCAUAUUUUGUAAGAUCUGUGAAAAUUACGAAGCUGAAGCCUUUGGAUCCUUUAUUCUUACAGUUUUCAUUUCAUGGAUGGGUCCUAUGGGCAAGAUCUGUGUCGAGCAGCAACGCUUCCCCUUCAUCAGGGCAAUGAUGGGAAAGGUCAUUCUGACCUGAAGAACAGUCUGAAAGCAGAGAUACCUCUGGCUGUGCACUCCCAUCUCUGAGAGUAAAGCAAAUAUCUUCAGCUGUUAGCACUUGCUUGUCCUUGACUAAUAACUUAUUUUCAGAGGAAAGGAAAAAUCAGCAACUAGGUGAGAAAUGACUUGCUCAGAACUGUAGUUUAUCAGAGUGUGGAUAUUUCACAGUGGCUUUUUCUGGCAAAGAAUUGCUCCCCUCAUAGAUCAAUGAUAAGUAUGAACCAGGUCAUUCUCCGAAAUCUGGAGAGUAAGAAGUAGAUUCAGAGACGUGCCAACAAAUGUAUAUGCACCAACUAUUUCCCUGUGGAUUCUGGGAAAGGGCACCUUCAUAAGAAAACAUAUUAUAUUGUUAUUCAAACCAGAAUGUUUCAUUUCUUCAAGGAAUGAAGACAACUCAUUCCAAAUAGCAAACAAAAACAAUGGCCACUCCUGUUUCUUGGAAGUCUGAAGGAUUUGCAUCAACAGAAAACAGCAGCUGCUAGGAUAGGUUUAUUUCCUUGUUAUUUAUCUCCUUAGCAGUUACCCAUAACUGGUGUUUCACUUUCUGACCUAACCUGGAGUUACUCCUUUCUGCACUACUGAUCGAAGUCUGCUGAGACUCCACAUGUGCUGGUCUGGUCUGAUUUGCAGAACUGUGCUUGAGUCCUGCUCAGAGAGGAAUAUUAUUGCUCUUCUGCCACUUCUCCUGAGACAAAAUCAGCCAAACUCUGCAGAAAACAAGGGGUUAAUAGCAGUGAUGCAACAAGACUGUUUCCUGGAAAAGGAGAUAUUGUCUACAAGUGUUCACAGUGCCUUUCAGAGAGUAAAAGAGAAUUGAAACAGGCUCUAUUCUCAAAUAGCUGACAUUGAGCAUCUUCUAGCUAAAAUAUUCUUUACAAAGCACUAGAAUUAUUUUCCAUUAGGUGGUCAACAAUAUGCUCAGGUGAAUGCAGAUAGGAUUUAGAGCAAUACAACCUCAAACUUCUAAAAUAGUAGAAGGGCUCAGAAAGGAAGGGAGCCUAGGUCUAAUUCAGAACUUAAUAUGUGUUUUCAACAUGCAUAGCUGCUACAACAGUAGAAGUUAAAGGACUAACAAUAACUCUGGCCAGUUUUAUUUAUGUUGGGUUUCAGCCCAAAUAAAAGUUCCCAGAAGAAAAAGAAAGGGAAGAUUAUGAUAGGAAGCACUGAGGUGACUGGAGCUCUGAUCAGUCAGGCUUCUAAAGCUUAAUUCUUAACCCUAGGCUUCUUUCUGCUGGUAAAAAUAGCUACUGCCAAAAUAGUGAUGGCCUUAAAGAAGCUGCGGUGCUUUUGCUUCCAGAGGAAUUCCAUUUUGUUUCUGUGUACAGCAUUAAAACAAAUAUGUGGUAGAGAAAAUAAUAUUAGAGUUGCAAUAGAGAUUUUCCAGCUGCUCUUUAAUUUUUCCAAAAGAAAUAAUCGAGGGCAAAAUGAAAAUACAAGAUCCUUCUUUGAAUAGAGUCCUUUCUUCACUGUAGGCAAAAAUGAAUACACAGGAUCUUGAGCUGAGCUGAAACAGAUCUCUGAGGGUCCAUUUAGAGGGAUAUUUGAAGGCUUUGAAGAAUUCAGUGAAAAAAGGAGGCUGGAUUCUCAUCAGGAAUGCAGUGAAGAUAAGGAUUCUUCAAAAGAAAGGAGAAGUCUGUGCACUGGCCCUGCAAAAAGGCAGGAAGGGGAAAGACAGAAGCAAUCUCUGCAGGGUCAAGUAGACAAAGCAAGAUACAAUGUGUGGGAGGGCUAGAAGAAGAAGAAAAUAUACUUCCAGUCCCCAGUCUUGGUGGAUUAUUAAAUGUCAGAACGCUUGGCCAUCUGGUGAUGUCGUCAAAACCCAUUCUUGGGGUUGCUUUGAAAGGCCCUUGCACAACAUGCUAAGCUACGAAAGAGUGAGUUGGAGCUGUGUACCAUUUCUUCAAGGCAGAAGAGCUCACAGCAGGGCAGGAUUGUUCAUCCCUGCUGCCUGCAGGGGAAUGCAAAGAGGUUUGUGCGUAAUGAUCUCCUACCAGGACCGUGGGAUUUACCAUCAACCUGCACAGUGGUCUUUGCUUGUGAUGUGCAGUCUGGCCUAUGGCCCCAGCUGCCAUUAUCAGUAGGCCAUUCAGGUUCAGAUGUGUUUUAAGUUCUUACCCAUUAAACCAACGUGACUGAAGAGCACUGAAUGUGACAGCUGUCUGUCUCCUUUUUGGAGGUGCUCAUUCAUCCUUCACCGCUACAAGCUGCGGCUUGGUGUGUUGUGACUAACAGCAGGCAGUGGGAGGCCUGCUUUUGUUCCUGCAUCUCUUACUGACUUUGGGAAAUCUCUCCUGCUGUCUACUAAAGUUUCUCUGAAAAGCAUUUUAAACCAUUUUUUUUGUUGACCACGUUGUCGAUUAGAAGCAGACUGCAUCCCAUAUUCUGGGACCUCUUAAUGGAGAUUGCUUGUUCGAUUUUCCAAGGAACCCAGGAGUAAAUCUGGAGUGUUGUGAUUGCUGCAUAAUCAUCUUGAGGUUUAACCCUACUGGGUUAAACACAUUUCUGGAGUUCUUUGAGAAGAACUCCCUCAGGCACCUGGGAACACACAGUUCAGUCAUGUGGUGCUCUUUGCUGGUGAUGCUUGUCUGUUCCUUCCCUGAGUUUUCAGGGCUGGUAGCCUGGCAGCUGGUGCAUUUGGAGAGCCAACUUGUCAGAGACAGAGAACAAAAACAGAUGUUUAAGCUACCCAUUGAAGACUUGCUGAUGCCUUAUGGAAUGUGGCAAAAUGUUUAAGGUGAUUACAGCCCAUGUUUCUCACUGAUGAAUGUGGCAGAAAACUGUUGCAGAUCAAUCUGCUGGAGAAUGACAAGUGCAGUGAAGAGAAGGAAAAUUUCAUACUUGUGUGUCACUACACAAAUCAGCUGAACUUGGAUUAUAAGAACAGAGCAAAAGAAAGGAGUUUUGGAGGGGGAGAAAAGACAACUCAGCAUGAAGCAGGCCUCAGAUUUCCCACACUUCCAUGAGAGGGCAAAACAAGCACCGAAACAAGAAUAGCUAUUCACGUGCCUCAGGUGUUGGAAGAAAGAAUUUGAGAAUCUUACUCACUGUCUCGGUGCUGUGGUGAACCUGUGAUAAUGGGCUUCCUCCACUGCCUCUUCCCAACAUUAAGGGCUCUUCUCCAUUGGACAGCCAGUCCGUGCUGCCAGGUCCUGCUGCUGGGCUGGGAACUUCAAGCUAAAGAUACUAAG